GUGGCUUGGGACCGUGUGGAGAGUGCGGGCGCUGGACAGCAGCUCCGGCCCCUCACCGACGCGCAGCCCGCGCCUGGGCCGACCUGUUGACUGAAAAUCAGCCGGCGCUUGGCCAGAUGCGUCGAUGGAGGCCCGCAGCCCAGCGACGACGUGGUAGUCAUGGCUGAAGCGGCGCCUGCCCCGAAAUCACACUGUGGACCGUGGUGCCUGCUGUUCAGGCCUUGGAGAAGAAAAGUGGAUUCUUGCCUGGCCCGCUUGCUGACUCUGGAGGGAUGCUCAGGGACAGCAGAGAAGAAGCUGGCUGACUGUGAGAAGACAGCUGUGGAGUUCAGCAGCCAGCUGGAGGGCAAGUUGGCCGUGCUGGGGACCCUGCCUCAGGAGUCUAGGCUGCUGCAUGAAGAACCUCAUGGGCAACUGGAACUUCUGGGUCCAGCGGCUUCCCCCUGGCAACAAGGGGGAGGUCCCCAAGGUAUUUCUCUGAGUCCAGAGCAGGCCCCAAGUCCAGCUAGCCCUGCCCAGGAGGAACUGAAUCAAAGGCAGACACCUGAGCAGCAGCAAGAGGAAGCAACCAUGAUUCCACCUGAGCCAGGCACUGGGAUUCCAGCAAGCACCAGCCCUUUAUCACUUAAACAGGAGGAAGAAUCUGCAGAGGGAGGAGAGUUGCCACCCUCCCCUUCCACAGAUAGCCUGCUUUCUGUGGAGCCAGACAGAAGCCCCAUCUGAGGAUCAACCUGAGCAGAACCUUCUGCAGUCCUGCAGCCAGUCCGUAUUUAGAGUCCACAGAAGGACCAGGAUUAAGACCAGGGGCCACAGAUGGCAUCACACGGAUUGGGGAACCUCAGGCAGCAGAGGAUAUGGGAGAGCCACCCUGUAUCCUUCCUCAGCCACAGAAGCAGGCAUUCCUGUGCCCUGACUGUGGGCAGAGCUUCUGCUUGAAGAUUAAUCUGACAAUCCAUUAGCAGACCCAUGUAGAAAAGAAACACAAGGAGGCUUGGAGUGGCUUGCCUAUUAGGUCAGGGAAAAGCCACUCCACACUGGAACCAGAGAAAGUGGUGGUGCCAGGCCCUGUCAUCCACUGGCCACCUGAGGAGCCCACAAGCCACCGGUCUCCAACAAGCCAUGCCUUCAUGAGACAAAGGCCAGCAACUACAGUUUACCACUGUAGUGAAUGUCUUCACUCCUUUCAGCAACAGAAGAGCCUGGUAUUACACCAGCAUCAGCACACAGGCAAGAGGCAGAGCUGGCCUGCCUGUCCCUACUGUGGCAAGGCCUCCCGCCGGCCCUCAGACCUCUUUUGUCACCAGUGUAUCCAUACUGGUGAGCGUUCCUAUCAGUGCCCCCAGUGUGGCAAGGAGCCACCACCUGGCUGUCCACAUGCAGACUCAUUCCUGAGGCUAAACAAUCCUGCAUUUCCUCUUGCUUUCUGUCCUCCAGGGAAGUCCAGCCCUGCAAGGGCCCAGCUCUGAACAGGACAGGACCUGCACUGUCUCAGGGCCUUUCCCUUGUGCCUGCCAAGUGGUGGAAGUUCCUUCACUUUCCAGCUGAGUUGGUACUUUAGGGGCCCUUCAAAAGCACAAGCUCCAGACCAGGAAUUUGAGGUGAUAGUGUCAUGCCUCAAAGUCAUGAGAGCGGGUGCUUCAUGUGCCUCUUUGUCACAGCACCUUGGGGACAGCCUUGUGGAGCUUCUGGAGCUGGGUGAUGGAUUCCAAUUCUGAUAGUUUGCUCUCUUGUUUGGCACUCAGACACCAGAGCACAUGAAGGCUCCCAGGUGCCUUCAUCCCUGGCUGUGCUAUUGCUAAAGUCCUGCAGACUCUGUAGCCACUCAGAAGUCCUGCACAGACGAGGCAGAGGGUGACACUGCCGUCAUUCCCAGGGUAGGGGUAUGACUGGCAAGACUGUGGCAUGCAGCCAUGGUUCUGGACGUUACUUGCCUGCACACCCAACCGUUGUUUAGGCCCUGCAAGCAAGACAGCAGUUGUCAGUAAGCGCUCAGACUGAACGUGGACAGUAUAGCUGCCCCAAACUUAAUCCUCCGCUGCAAGCACUCAUGUUGCUGUUCUGGGGGUUCCUAGGCCUCUCUUCUAAUGCUUUAGAUGUUCUCUGGAAAACAAGUAUUCAUAUUUGAAGCACAAAUCCAAGUGCUGGGGUGGGGGAAGAGGCGCUGUAUAAUCCUGGCUCGCCUUGGGCUUGCAGUGAAUUUUUUUCCCCUACCUCUAUCUACCUACUAGGAUUUCCUUGCUUGUGCCAUUAUGCACAACUGGGCUUACUGCAUUUAACCUGAAAUUCAAUAGGACAGGUUAAAGAGUAUUUUGAGUUAAGAAUGAACAAAGGCUGCAUGGUUGCCUGAGCUCAAAGACGUUGGAUCCCAGAUUCUGAUGACUUAUUUUGUAAAACAAAGAUAUGGUUGGGUUGGUUACAAGGCCCUAAGAACCAUGGAGGUGGAAAUAUUAACUUAAUCGGUGCUCUAUAAAUACACUGGAAAAUGUA
RNAcentral lists this long non-coding RNA (2487 nucleotides) under Mus musculus (house mouse). RNAcentral's name for it is "zinc finger protein 783". The record is from RNAcentral. Lineage: Eukaryota; Metazoa; Chordata; Mammalia; Rodentia; Muridae.